CCUACGGGAGGCAGCAGUGGGGAAUAUUGCACAAUGGGGGAAACCCUGAUGCAGCGACGCCGCGUGAGUGAAGAAGUAAUUCGUUAUGUAAAGCUCUAUCAGCAGGGAAGAAAAUGACGGUACCUGAGUAAGAAGCCCCGGCUAACUACGUGCCAGCAGCCGCGGUAAUACGUAGGGGGCAAGCGUUAUCCGGAUUUACUGGGUGUAAAGGGAGCGUAGACGGCAGUGCAAGUCUGGAGUGAAAGGCUGGGGCUCAACCCCCGGACUGCUCUGGAAACUGUACGGCUGGAGUGCAGGAGAGGUAAGUGGAAUGCCUAGUGUAGCGGUGAAAUGCGUAGAUAUUAGGAGGAACACCAGUGGCGAAGGCAGCUUACUGGACUGUAACUGACGUUGAGGCUCGAAAGCGUGGGGAGCAAACAGGAUUAGAUACCCCGGUAGUC
Molecule: ribosomal RNA, 440 nt
Filed under: uncultured bacterium
Lineage: Bacteria
Description: partial 16S ribosomal RNA
Rfam family: Bacterial small subunit ribosomal RNA
Source: RNAcentral